CUACCAAUCAGACUGCAGCGUUAAAUCGGAAUAAACUACUUUUCCAAUGCCCACUAAUUUACAGGCCAUUUACACAAAAAAAUAAAAAAUAAUAAACCAAACACGCCAGACAACAAUCAACAAACACACUACACUAAUGCUCGUGCUUCACUCGCCCUUUCAGUAUUCCUGGAAUAGGGGGUGAGCUUGGCAAUCUAGCUGUACCAUUAGUUGAUCUUGCAGGUUGCUGCACUUGCUGCCUAUAAAUAUUUGGCAUGCUUGAGCUCUCACCUCCAUUUGAAAUUAGAUCAUGAAUACCGUCGAUUUGUUCUUCUCCACAAGAACUCAUUGCUUUCAGUACAAAUGAGUCAUCAUGCAACUCAAAUGGUGUGCUGCAUCAAAAUGUACAAGUUGCAUAUCUUCUGAUAUUUCAACUUCCACAGUUGCAUGAGGCCGUGUCUGCAUGAUUCAUUCUUGAUAAAUGGUAAUGCAACUCCACCCGAGGGAAUGUUUCCUGAACCAUAUAGCUGUUCAUUUCUUUGUAUCAACUUUUGCAUACCUACAAACUUAACAUG
This 554-nucleotide small RNA is filed under the name Oryza sativa Japonica Group (Japanese rice). RNAcentral describes it as "sRNA Os03g0152200". Lineage: Eukaryota; Viridiplantae; Streptophyta; Magnoliopsida; Poales; Poaceae. The record is from RNAcentral.